Molecule: long non-coding RNA, 9204 nt
Filed under: Populus trichocarpa (black cottonwood)
Lineage: Eukaryota; Viridiplantae; Streptophyta; Magnoliopsida; Malpighiales; Salicaceae
Description: long non-coding RNA (PTRI_LNC001409)
Rfam family: U1 spliceosomal RNA (bases 6241-6400)
Source: RNAcentral
GCAUUAGGUGUCUUUGCCAAUAUCUCUUCAGCCUUCUGAACAGCCCCAUUUAUGCCCCUGGCAGGAUCAGUAAGGAUCAACUCAGCUCCAAAAGCAAGGAGAACCAUUCUUCUCUCUAGACUCAUUGAUGCAGGCAUGGUAAUGAUCAGUCUGUAGCCCUUAGCAGCUGCCAUGAAUGCCAGCCCUAUGCCAGUGUUGCCACUCGUAGGCUCAAUCAGGACACUCUUCAGCAUUAAGAAAGAAAACCAUGUCAACACGCGAGUUCCUUUGUAAUGACAUUCACGCUAUUUUGUAAGCAAUGAACAGAAAACGGAUCAGUUGACUGUCAAUGUCUGGACUAGGUCAUUACAAGGGUUGGCAACUAAUAAUUAAAUAUCCAUUAAUGUAUCAUACCUGCCAGCAGAAAAUGAUUUUCUGAUGCAACGAAGUCUUAAGCCAAGACAUGUAUUGAUCAAUUUUCAAUAGCUAUAUAUAACAUAUCACUCAAUUUCAAAGCAAAACAACCCAACUUGGACUUAAAAUUCAUGUAUCGUAUCUGUUCAAGUAGGAUUGAAUCACCAACCUCGCCCGGCUUGAUUAGACCCUUCUCCUCUGCAUCUUUGAUCAUACUAUACCCAAUCCUACAAACAAGGGAAGAAAGACAAGAAGAAGAAUUUCAAGCUGAGCAAACCAAAAUCUCAUUAAUGAUGAUGUUCUAAAGGCCCCAUUGUUACUUGUUGAGCAAAUCCAAUUCCAGCUUUGGAUUCAGAAACACAUUUGAAGUACCCGGAAACAGAAACAUAUUAAAUUUCGACAGCAAAGGAAGAUUUUCGGCCUUGGCAACCAAAUAAACCUGAUCGUAGCCAAGUUAAUAUAUAAAGCAUACCGAUCUCAACUUUCCAACAAAGAACAACAGAAAUCUAACUAAUACCUAUCUUUGACACUUGAGCAAGGUUCCAUCAUCUCCAGCUUGGCAGCAAUACGCGCCACACAACCAUCCACAACAUUGUUGAGAUACACCAAUGGUGUUUUACCGAUAAGCUAUAUUGGACCAAGUACAAAAGAAUAUAUAAGCCAGGGCUCCCAUAUCAAAGCACCUCAAGAACAAAUUCAACAAUUUUGGAAAUGGCAAUGGAGUCAACUUACUUCAGUAACAUCUUUGGCAAUUGAACCCUUCUCCUCUGCCAUUUUUUGUUCCGGUUACUGCACAAGCAUAGAACACAUGGAGUGAUCAGCGAAAAAAAAAAACAAGCUAAAAAGGACACACCUUUACAGAAAAAAUAGCAGAUACUGCAACCAUUUGAAACAUUCACCAAAACACCAUUUAAUUUAUAAGGAAAUGAUUCAGGAACUNNNNNNNNNNNNNNNNNNNNNNNNNNNNNNNNNNNNNNNNNNNNNNNNNNNNNNNNNNNNNNNNNNNNNNNNNNNNNNNNNNNNNNNNNNNNNNNNNNNNAAUUGCGACACUCUUGCACGCACAAGACCAUGCAUUAUAAACCAAAAAAAUAUAUAGCAUCAACCCAGAAAAAAAAAGAAUUCUCUCCUCAUGGCCCAUGGGAGUGCGACGUAAAUGAAAGUUGAUCAAAAUUUAUUUAUUUCUGUUUAAAAUUUAUUUUUUUAUUUUUGAAUGGUUUUAAUGUGUUUUUUCAAAAUUAAAACUUGGAAAAAAUUAAAAAAUAUAUUAUUUUUAUAUAUUUUGAAAACAAAAAAGAUACAACACUCACGUGCACCGACAAACCCUUCACCAAAAUCCAUGAACUGAUGAACAACUAAACCUUCUAGAAUCCAGCAUCAACACAUAUAAUAUCAAAGAGUAAAAAUUGAGAAAAUCUUACAUCAAGCCUCGAGAUUCUUGAACUUUAAACAAUGUAAGUUUCCAAGCUAAAAUCUUUCUUUCAAGAAAAAACAGAGAAAUGAAAGAAAGUCAGAUAUUCGAUGGACUUCAAGGAGCCUUAAGAGAACUUACCAAGAAAUCCUUACCUCUCUAUAUAUAGAGAGAACAAGGAGAGUAGGGAGCUUCUUGCAAUGAAAGAGCAAUAGUAGCUGGCUGAUAUAUACUGAUCUUUUAGCAUAUUUUUUAUACAAAUUUAUUUUAAAUUAAUUUUUGUAAGUGUAGUUGUCAAAGGUUUAGCUUCUAGUGUGAUUGUCAAAGUGAAGCUUUUGACCUGACCAAUCUUGUCUUCGUUCGUAACAGGUAAUUCCACUCGUCUUUGUUUUUGUCCUUUCCUUCUUCUUUUUUACGUCAUUAUUGAUUAUCUUAAAUAAAAAUGGGUCUUUUAAUGGUGGACUUUUCUUUGAUGGGUGCCCUUAGCAUCAUCAAUACUAAACUUGUCCUGCACGACGGAUGGACUUGGGAUUCAUCUUCGCAGAGAAAGAAUUAUAAUGAUUAUGAAUAAAAAAGAAAAAAGAGAUUGAUUAGAUGUUUUAAGAUAUUUAUUUAUUUUUUAUAUUUUGAGAUUGUCAUAGUUCAAAUUUAUUGAUUUUUUUAAAUAUGUUUGAUAUUUUAAAAAAAUUAUUAUUAAUAUUUAAAUUGAUUUAAGAGUAUCCCUUAUUGUUGGAAAAGAAAAAAUAUAAUUACCCACUGACAGCUUAUUGUUAAUUAUCAAGAAGAUGUAUCUCCUUUGAUUACAGGAUUCGCUCUAGAGUAUUUUAUAUAUAUAUAUAUAUAUAUAUAUAUAUAUAUAUAUAUAUAUAUAUAUAUAAUUGCUUUGGUGAUAGGAUCAUUAUCAUUUUAAAUUUAUUAAAAAAAUUAAAUACAUAAAAAACCAUAUAAAAUGUAUAUAUUUAAAAUAACUUGACUUUAGCUAAUGUUUAGGCCAGGAGUGUUAAUGAAAUAUAGCAAGUCAUAUUUGGGAUUUAUAAUUUUUAUUCAGUUUAAUUUUUAAUAUUUUAUAAAUUAUAAACUCAAUUUAUCUAGAAGAAAGUUUGAAUUUGAACGAGCUAAAUAUAUCAGGCUGGAUUAAAUUUUUUAUAAAUAUUAUAAAUAUUUAUAAGUUGGAUUUAUAUUACUAAUUUUUAUGAGUUAUACUCAAUUGGAAUACCUUGCACCCACAAAAACUAUCAUUAUAAACCAAAAAAUAUACAGCAUCAAUCUAGAAAAAAAACAAUUCUCUCCUCAUGCUUCCUGUUUAAGAGUGCGGCUCAAAUGCAAGUUAAUCAAAAUUUAUUUUUUAUUUAAAAUUAAUUAUUUUUUGAUAUUUUGAAUUGUUUUGAUAUUUUAUUGUCAAAAAUAAAUAUUAAAAAAUAAAAAAUAUAUUAUUUUAAUAUAUUUUUAAAUAAAAAAUACUUUAAAAAACAAAAACAACAACAUUCACAAUCACUCCCCAAACCCUUCACCAAAAUCCAUGAACCGAUGAACAACUAAACCUUCUAGAAUCCAGCAUCAACACAUAUAACAUCAAAGAGUAAAACCUGAGAAAAGCUAUACAUCAAACCUUGAGAUUCUUGAACUUCAAAGUAUGUAACUUCCAAGCUAAAAUCUUUCCUACAAGAAAAAACAGAGAAAUGAAAGAAAGUCAGAUAUUCGAUGGACUUGAGAGAUCUUGCCAAGAAAUCCUUGUCUAUCUAUAUAUAGAGAGAGAACAAGGAAAGUAUGAAGCUUCUUGCACGAAAGAGCAAUAGUAGCUGGCUGAUCUUUUAGCAUAUUUUUUCUACAAAUUUAUUUUAAAUUAAUUUUCCUCGUCCGGCUAUUUUCAGUAUCGUUCUUGUUUAUAUAUAUAUAUAUUGUAUGUAUUUGUGAAGUGUAGUUGUCAAAGGUUUAGCUUCUAGUGUGAUUGUCAGAGUGAAGCUUUUGACCUGACCUGUCUUGUCUUUGUUCGUAACAGGUAAUUCCACUUGUCUUCGAUUUUGCCUUUUCCUUCUCUUUUUUGACGUCAUUAUUGAUUAUCUUAAAUAAAAAUGGGUCUUUUAAUGGUGGACUUUCCUCUGAUGUGUGUCCUUAGCAUCAUCAAUACUAAACUUGUCUUGCACGAGGAUAGACUUGGGAUUCAGCCGAUCAUGUUUCAGAUUUUCAGUAACAGUGACCGAUUUGGAUUGCGAUUAUUUAUGUUUUUAAAUGUUUUUUAAAAGUGUUUUUAUUUUAAAAUAUUUUAAAAUAAUCUUUUUAAUUUUUUUUUACUUUUAAUAAAAGCUUAUCAAAAUAAUUAUAAAGCAAUUAAAAAAAAUUAAUUUAAUAAAAAUAAAUAUACUUAUGAAAUCUAUUCAAACAUAGUUAUAAAUAUGAUGUAGAAUAGAUAUUUAUAAUUCAAGUCAGGUUUAAAAAAGAAAUUAAUUUAGAAUUAACACGGCCAAAACGCUAUUGGGCAAAAAUUGAAAAUUAUUUUUGUUUAAAAUUUAUUUUUUUAGGUUUUUUUUCUAGUUUUGAUGUGAUAAUAUCAAAAAUAAAUUUUAAAAAAUAAAAAAAAUAUUAUUUUAAUAUAUUUUUUAACAAAAAAAAUACUUUGAAAAGUAAGAUCUACCACAAUAACAACCACUACCUUAAUUGACAUGGUUAAAAUUUAAAAAAAUAUAUUUAAAACAAUGUUGUUAUUUAUUAUUCUAGGUUUACUUACGCAACCAAUAAAUCGAUAAACCAAAUCUUAAGUUGGGUCGGAUUUAAAUAAUUUUCUUCUCAUACAUGUUAUAUAUAUGAGAUCACAUCUAAUGACUAUCAUUAGAAGUUGAUAUGGUUUCAAUGACUAUUUUAAAGCAAAUUAAAAACUUCUGAAAUAAUUAAAUAAAACUAAAAAUUAAGUUCUGUCUCAUCCACAUCUAUAUGUGUGUGUGUUUUUGCAGACCUUGGAUUUAAAUUUUAAUAAUUAAUAUUGAUUCCCUUCAAGUAUGGCAUUAUCUCUUAAAUAGCAACUAGCAAUUAAAAACACCGUGGGCUCCGAGCCUGUUACUAUGGGCAUCCACCGAUCCCAGACUCAUCUCCGCAUAUGAAGAAUUAUAAUGAUUGUGAAUAAAAAAAGAAAAAGAAAUUGAUUUGAUGUUUAAGGAUAUUUAUUUAUUUAUUAAAUUGAUUUAAGAAUAUCCCAAUUUCUCAGAAAAUAAAAUAAAAAUUUCGUGUGGAUAUUCGCAAGUUGGACUUGUAUUACUAAUUUUUAUGAAUUAGACUUAAUUAGAACUUAUUGUUGAUGAUCAAGACGUAUCUGUUGUGGUUCUCAGGAAUCCUCUGUAGAGUGCUAUAUUAUCAUCACAGUCAGGAAUGCAUGUCACGAAGAAUUGGAUGUUGGAAACUAGCACGAUGCUUAACAGGAUUUGGAGUACACAUGAAACUGCAGAUUUUAUGGGCUAAUAAAGUGCCGUUUUAGAAAUUCAACAGACAAAUCAUCAUUUGACUGAGCUGGGAAGUAGGACAUUAGUUUGAAUUCAGCAUCAAGAAGGGAAGAGACCUUCCAUUGCUAGGUUCUCAAGCAUUUUCUGUGGAAAAGUGCUCAAGGCAUGCAUUUGAAAGAACUCUAAGAAAUGAGGGGAAAGAAACUAUAGCAUGACUCGUAUAUUCGGCUUCUAGUCCAUGGAGAAGAACAUCUUAAAAUAGAUGUUGGCAGAACAAACCAGCAAACAAUCUUCAAAGAAAGCACUUUAGCAGUUUUGAUAAGUUUAUGGUUUUCGUGUUUAGUGCAGAUCGGUGAAGACCGUGACGUACGAGUCAUUGAAUAAUGUGGCGAGGUUGAUAAAUGGAGUGUCAGCCAUUUUGUCGACUCUUCUACCUGGGAAGGCUAAUGUUCUUGAAGAUGUUCAUGGCUGCGAGCUUAGGCCUACUUUUCAUGGACCUCGAUUGCCCCGUUGGAUACAUAAGUAAUUUUCUUUUUUAACUCUAUCAGCUCUUGAUGUUUGCACAACAAAUUUAAACAAGUUCCUUCCCAACAAUUGGAUUUGUAAGCAACAAGACAUUGAUGCUAAUCUGGCAAUUUGAAUCUGUAAACCAAGAUUCUACUUUGAUGCAUCCAACCUGAGAGAACCUAGCUAGGUAGAGAUGUGUAUACGCCAGCUUUAUGAUUAUUUUUCUCAUUCAAACCUCUUCUAGCUGAGACCCGUCCUAGCCUUGACUAGACUAUGUCUCAUGAGGUUUAGCCGGGUUGGUUAUGUUUCAUAUCUGGUUAAACUAAGGAUUAGCAGGCGCAUGCAUGGGUUUUAACUUUUAACAGUGUUUGAUGUGCCGCCAUGAAGAAGGUAGACGAUGACAUGAUGUGAAAUGCAUAAAGAAGAUUCCCACAUCGAGAAAACAUAAGACGUGGGGCAAGGCAUGGGAAUAUAAAUAGGAAGCUCAAAGCAACGGGAAACAUACUUACCUGGACGGGGUCGAUGGGCGAUCAGGAAGGUCCAUGGCCUAGGUCAGUGACGUCCAUUGCACUGAGGAUGGGUGCUGGCUUAAGGUCUCCCCAAGUGGGAGAUCCUACGUCAAAAUUUGUGGCAGAGGGGGCUGCGCAAGUCGCGGCCCCUGUCCAAUUCUAAUAUCAAACAUUUUGCUAUGAGUCUUUCUAAUUUGAAGCCUCAUCUGAACUUGUUCGGCGCCGGAGAUAGUAGCUGAGGCUCCGAGCAUUGAGAGUAGAUGUUGCGUUGAUCAUAGAAACAUUGGACACUUGAAGAAAUGCGAUGCCUGAGAUAUCGAUCAGGAAUAAUUAAUUAAGACCAAAAAAGAAGUCUGUCUCAUCCACCUGCAUAUAUAUCUGUGUGUUUUUUGUGAUGUGAUAAUGUCUAACAGCUUUUCUUCUUCUUUUUUGCAGACCUUGGAUUUAAAUUUUAAUAAUGGGUGUGCUUGGAUGAAAAUAAUUUUUAAAAUAAAAAAUUAUUAAAUUCAAUGAAAAUAAAGAAAUUCAAGAUCCAAAUUGCAUAUUGGCUAGUUAACUUAAUUAACUCUUCUUUUUUUUUUUAUCGAUUUUCUUAUCUCUAGUUUCACAACACUAUGAUUAAGUUUUUAAUAACAUAAUAUACUAUCAACGGGACUUUGUUUGAUCUCACAACACUAUGAUUAAAGUUUCUUAAUCCAUCGCACAAGCCCUUUGUUAAUAUAUACAGAUACACAGAGCAGAAAAGCCUCCGCAUCAGGCUCCUAUAAGCCAUGCUCUCCACCUCAAGGCACAAAAACCAUGUUCUCCGCCUCCUUCUUCACCGAUUCGAAAAGCACGGAGGAUAGGUAACGCUCCCCAAAGCUAGGGAAGAUCGUCUGUUUACAUUAGAAAAAAUGGUAAGACGCACAGAACAAAACACCAACAAAGGCCAAGCACUAGAAGGUAUUCAGAAAGAUACGGCAUGUGCUAAACGCAAUGCUGCUAAGCUUUGCCAAAGAAUAUGGUACUUAUCAUCACUAUUACCGUGCUUGAAGAUUUUCUAUCACCUAUAAUCGUUCAAGAACAUUCAUUAUUUGAAUAGAUAAUUUCAUCAUAAAAAAUAUCAAGGGAAAUGGUUGCUAGAUUGGCAAUGAACUUUACUAUUUGGAAACAAAUUUGUUUCAUCUAAGGGAUAGCUUUGGGCAGCAGGCUCACUAGCAAGUUGCAGAUGGAUCUACUUCAAAAGGAAGAAAAUCAAACUUACAACAAUGAGUUUUCCAGCAUUUUCAGGCCUCUUUGCUAUCUCAAUGGCAGCAGCUGCAGCAGCUCCAGAUGAUAUCCCCACCUGAAAUCCAAAUGAUGCCCUCAAAAGAAUUCUUGAUUAAAGUCAAACCCAGAAAAUAUGAUCCAGUUAACAGAGUGGAGUGCUGUAGAGUUCUGGGUUCCUUCUUGCAACAAAUAUCAAAUAAUUGUAAGCUUACCAGCAAUCCUUCUUUCAAGGCAAGAAGCUUUGCAGUUUCAAUGGCUUCUUCACUUGAUAUCUGCAAAGUCAUUUAACGAUCCAGUCUCUCAGGUAGCAGUGCAGCAAGGCAAUCAAAAGGAAGAAAAAAAAAACAAACGGUAUUUUCUCUUAAAGAAUAAAUCAGAGCAUGCGACAAAGAUUAGACUUGAGGAACUUGGAUUUGUAUAUGAUGGAGUUUUAGGAAUACGUUUUGGGAAUUAUGUAAGAGAACACAGACUUACUUGAACAGUUUCAUCAAGUAAACCGACAUCCAAAACUCCAGGGAUGAAGCCAGCGCCAAUUCCCUGGAUCUUAUGUGGACCUUGGAUCCAUUCCAGAAAACAAUGAUAAUGUUAGUCCAAUCAUGAAUACAUGGAAAAGGCAGCUGUUUCAAGAGGACAGAAUCAUAUGGGACAUGUCCAAUUGUGGAAAAUGUUGUGCAAGGUUUUGAAUAUCCAUCUUAAAGGAAUGCAAGACAGAUGGCUUAGAAGUUCCAACAACUAUUGGGGAAUUAUUCAAACAUAAAACAACGUAACUCCUAAUGCAUAUACUUUUCUAAUCCGACAAAGUAAAAGUCGAAAGGAUUAGACCAGGAUCCUAUAUCCAUAGAAUCAGUGAGCUUUAUUAUUUGUUUUAGCGUAUGAAAACGGUUGGAUCCAUAGAAUCAAUGAGCUUUUGCAUAACUCUAAUCACUGUUUAAUUGGACUGUAUAGUUUGUGAUCAAGUUUACAACAUUUGAAUUGUAGGUUCUUGGAAAAGAACAAAAGCAAAUGAAUGUCCAAGAAACCAUGACUCACCAGGUUUCCCUCCAGACAGCACUGCACUUUCAACUGGUUCUACACCAUAAAUCUAAACACGAAAAGGAAAGAACAAACGCCAAGAUAAGAAACAAUAGAAAUAAUAAAGAAACUAUCAAUACCACAAAAAAAAAAAAAAGACUUCCACUCCAAGUCAAGCAAUGCGGAGAAGUAAACCUUUAUAUCAGGGUUUUGUUCCUUGAGAUACUUCCCUGCACCUGUUAUUGUUCCCCCAGUCCCUAUCCCAGAAACAAAGGCAUCAACUUUCCCACCUGACCCUUUCCAUAUCUCUGGUCCAGUUGUCUCGUAGUGAAUCUGACCAGGCAACAUCAGUAUGAUUGCAAUUCUCUCAAAUCAGUAAGUCAGAAAACGUGCGAAAUGAAAACAAAUGGCACCUUUGGGUUGGCAGGAUUUUCAAAUUGUUGCAGAAGAUAAGCAUUAGGUGUCUUUGCCAAUAUCUCUUCAGCCUUCUGAACAGCCCCCUUCAUGCCCCUGGCAGGAUCAGUAAGGAUCAACUCGGCUCCAAAAGCAAGGAGAACCAUUCUUCUCUCUAGACUCAUUGAAGCAGGCAUGGUAAUGAUCAGUCUGUAGCCCUUAGCAGCUGCCAUGAAUGCCAGCCCUAUGCCAGUGUUGCCACUCGUAGGCUCAAUCAGGACACUCUUCAGCAUUAAGAAAGAAA